RNAcentral lists this long non-coding RNA (1088 nucleotides) under Nicotiana benthamiana. Its description in RNAcentral is "long non-coding RNA (NBEN_LNC029988)". Lineage: Eukaryota; Viridiplantae; Streptophyta; Magnoliopsida; Solanales; Solanaceae. The record is from RNAcentral.
ACAUCUUUUCAGCCUUAAUUUCUGCACGAAAAGCUCUAUUUCCUCCUGAAAAGUUCAAAUUCCAGAAAUCCUGAAAAAACUUCAAAACCUCUCAUUUCCUGAUUAAAAGUAUGGCUUGAAGUGGAAGAUUACCCUAUUUUCCGUUAGCUGGUUUUUCUAGUUUCAAAUCUAUUCUCAUUUAGUUUGGGUUCAUUACUGUUUUGCUGGUUUUUCUCCUUAAGUUUGGCUCCCUUUUCCUGUUUGAUUUUCUUGAUCGUUAUUUUGUCAUUCAUGUGUUAUACUGUUCAGUUUCAAGGUAUGUACAUUGUUCACUUUGAAUGGAAUCAAUUGGGAGGUUAAUAUUUAUAUUUUUAAUUUGUUUGUUUAGCUGAUAAGUUAUGUUAGUUCUAAAAUUAUGACUUGCUUAAGUGGUUGUACGAUUCAAUGGUAUAAGUCAAUAUAUGUUGUAUAUGCAUUUCAGCAAUAUGAAAAUGUUCUAUGUGAAUUGAGCUCUCAGCAUGUAUACCUUUUCUAACCAAGUAUUAGUCAUAUGCAUCAGAAUUCUACAUGAGCUUCAAUUAUUCCAUACUAUUUGAUAAAAUGUCCAAUAGGUAUCUUUGAAGGUCAGAACUUGUGAAUCCAGCCACCUAUUGGUUUGGUUUACGAUUCAAGACAUUGAGCAAGUUAUGUCUCGUGGAUUAUUUUUUUGAUUUUGGACCUGUUAUUUGUCUACUUUUGGUUUCCUUUUGUUACAUAAUAGUAUGUAUAAUAAGUAAUAAAGAAUAUGUGUAAUUAUGUUUUUUGGAAAACAUGAUUAUGUGUAACAAUAUGAAUAUGUGUAUCACAUUGAUGUAAAGUUUCUUUGCCUAAAGCUGAAGGAGCUUAACAAGUCGGGCUUAAUGUUGGCCAAAAUGAGGGAUCCUUGGUUGAAAUUGCCUUUGUGUGGUUCCUGGGCUUCCAUAUUCUAUGAAACUCAAUUGGUUCCCAAUCCAUACUGCAUAUAACUAUUAUCGAGACUAGUUAUUUCAUCAGAAUAAUUAGUUUAGACUCAGUAGUUAAGUAAUUUGUAUACUCGAAAUAGCUAUGUGUACAUUUAGUUUUAAUCUAGC